Molecule: long non-coding RNA, 1556 nt
Organism: Anolis carolinensis (green anole)
Lineage: Eukaryota; Metazoa; Chordata; Lepidosauria; Squamata; Anolidae
Source: Ensembl
AUGACUGCAUGGAGCGCCGUUACCUUCCUGCGGAAGCGGUACCUAUUGAUCUACUCACAUUGGCAUGUUUUCGAACUGCUAGGUUGGCAGGAGCUGGAGCAACAGCUGGCGCUCACUCUGCUCCCGGGAUUUGAACCUGGGAACUUUCAGUCUGCAAGUUCAGCAGCUCAGUGCUUUAACACACUUCACCACCGGAGCUCCUUUUCUAAGUCUACACUGCCAUAUAAUCCAGUUAAAAGCAAAUAUUCUGGGUUAUAUGGCUGUGUGGAAGGGCUCUCAAACCGCAUUAAUUUUUUUCCCGUGGCUUAAGCCACAACGAUCAGCAGCUACUCUCAGGCCCUUUCUAAACAGUCCUUAUAUUCCAGGAUUUGGUCCCAAGGCCCUUCCACAGAGUCAUAUAACCUAGAACAUAAUGGCAGAAGAUCCCACAAUAUCUGCUUUGAACUGGGUUAUCUGAGUCCACACUGCCAGAUAUUCCAUUUCAAAGCGAAUAAUAUUUAACUGUGUGGAAGGGGCCUCAGAUUAUCUGCUUAUUGAAGAUGAUAUGGCAGUGGAGACUCAAGGCCCUUUCACACAGUCAUAGAAUCAUAGAGUUGGAAGAGACCUCUUGGGCCAUCCUGUCCAACCCCCUGCAGGAAAAUUGCAUUCAAAGCACCCCCGAUAGAUGGCCAUCCAGCCUCUGUUUAAAAGCUUCCAAACGAGCCUCCACCACACUCCGGGGCAGAGUUCCACCGCUGAACAGCUCUCACGGUGAGAAAGUUCUUCCUAAUGUUCAGGUGGCAUCUCCUUUCCUGUAGUUUAAAGCCAUUGUUCUGCAUCCUAGUCUCCAGGGCAGCAGAAAACAAGCUUGCUCCCUCCUCCCCUCACAUCUUGAUACAUGGCCCUUAUCAUGUCUCCUCUCAGCCUUCUCUUCUGCAGGCUAAACAUGUCCACCUCUUGAAGCAUCUCCUCACAGGGCUUGUUCUCCACACCCAAGUAACCCAGAAUAUCAUGGCAUAAAAUCCACAAUAUUUGCUUUGAACUGGAAUAUCUGAGUCUACGCUGGCACAUAAUUCAGUUCAAUGUGGAUUUUAUACAGCUGUGUGGAAGGGACCUCAUAUAAUACAGUUCAAAUUUGGAAUCAGAUUCUGGGAUAUAAGGACAAUUUAGAAGGGGCAUCAAAGGCCCCUUCCACACAGCUGAAUAAAAUCCCACAUUAUUUGCUUUGAACUGGGAUAUGUGGUAGUGUGGACUCAGAUAACCCAGUUUAAAACAGAUGUUGUGGGGUUUUCUGCCUUGAUAUUAUUUAUUUACCCUGCCUUUCUCACCCCAGAGGGGACUCAAGGUGGCUUCACAAUAAUGGUGGUGAUAAUUCAAUGCCCUUAAAAAACAAAGUACACAAGCAGUCAUUUAAAUAAUAAAACAUUAAAAUACAAUUAAAACAAUUAACAUUUAACUCUGACAAGAGUAAAUCACGUAAAUCAUAUUCUGGGUUAUGUGGCUGUGAAGAAGAGCACCCAGAAUAUCAAGGCGGAAUAACCCACAAUAUUUGCUUUGAACUGGGUUAUCUGCCAUAU